CCUAAGCUGAUUGGCGCUGCAAGCCUGGGAGGUGGGAGAAGUGAAGCAGCGACAGUGUGCUCGGGUUGCUCGUACUCGUGCACGGAGCAGAGGUGAUCUGGGGUGGAGGGGGUGCCUCAGG
Molecule: non-coding RNA, 121 nt
Organism: Chelonoidis abingdonii (Abingdon island giant tortoise)
Lineage: Eukaryota; Metazoa; Chordata; Testudines; Testudinidae
Source: RefSeq, a predicted model, not a curated record